GGCCUUUUGGAGAUUUAUAUAAAAGGUUGGGCCUGCCCGGUGAUCUGAAAUGGUUUAACGGCUGCGAUUGAAACCGUACUAAGGUAGCAUAAUAAUUUGCCCUUUAAUUGGGGGAGAGAAUGAAUGGUUUGACGGUAAAAAAGCUGUUUUAAAAAUAAAAAAAGAAGUUAACUUUUAAGUGAAAAGGCUUAAGUUUUUAUAAAAGACGAGAAGACCCCGUCGAGCUUAAUUAGAAUAACUUAAAUGUAGGUUAUUUAAAAUUUUAUUGGGGCAAUAGAAAAUGAAAUGAAUCAUUUUUUUUAUUAUAAGGAUCCAGUUUUGACUGAAAAAAGCAAAAGCUACCGCGGGGAUAACAGGGUAAUUUUUUCUGAGAGUUCAUAUUUAAGAAGAAGUUUGCUACCUCGAUGUUGGAUUAGAAUUUCUUUAUGCUUGCAGCAGGUAUAAUAGUAGGACUGUUCGUCCUUUAAAAUUUUACA
RNAcentral lists this ribosomal RNA (476 nucleotides) under Corbicula fluminea. RNAcentral's name for it is "partial 16S ribosomal RNA". It matches the Rfam family "Bacterial large subunit ribosomal RNA", at positions 1817 to 2600 of the family's 2925-position model. The record is from RNAcentral. Lineage: Eukaryota; Metazoa; Mollusca; Bivalvia; Venerida; Cyrenidae.